CCCCACCUGUCUGAGGCCCAAGGAGGUGACAUAACAUGGUUUCCCCACCCACUGUUUUCCAGUUUUACAAUCAGGACAACCCUGCGAAGUAGGUUAGACUCUGAGAGGUACAGUGAACUACAUGACUGAGUGGGGAUUUGAAGGGUCCUAGUCCAACGCUCUAACCACUACAUUACACUGGUCGCGGCCAGCAGACCACAUUGGGGGGGGGGUGACACCUCUUGCCGUGGGAACUCCCUGUCCCUGACCAUGUUCCACACUGGCUAGACACCCCAAGGUGCCACAGACGCCCCAUCUCUGUUUGGACCCCUUCUGUUUAUACUUGUCUCUGGCUUUGGAACUUUCUUUAUGUAUGCAACAACAGCAGCAAGAAUACUCAUCGCAAAGUAUUGGAAGACACAAGAACUUCCCACGCUGGAGGAAUGGCAGAUGAAACUGAUGGACUAUAUGGAACUGGCGGAAAUGACUGGCAGAAUCCGUGACCAGGGAGAAGAGUUGGUGGAGGAAGAUUGGAAGAAAUUCAAAGAUUAUCUUCAGAAACAUUGCAAAAUUAAAGAAUGUUAGAGUGAUGUUGGAUCGAAAAUAAGUGGUUUCCAGCUGUACAGGUUAAAGUUAUUGAUAGACUAAGAUUAAAGAUUAGGAUUAAAGAUGUUUAAGGAAAUGGAAAUUUGGUACUUAAGAGAUAAAAUUUUAAUGUUAUAUUACAUUAAGA
This 712-nucleotide long non-coding RNA is filed under the name Podarcis lilfordi (Lilford's wall lizard). Lineage: Eukaryota; Metazoa; Chordata; Lepidosauria; Squamata; Lacertidae. The record is from RNAcentral.